CCCUACAUCCAAUGAGGGAGCCUCUGAGCCCCGAGCUCCGCCCCCUUCCACCUGUCUCUGUGGUCUAUCCCGCACCGAGCAGCAGCAAUUGCUCUGCAAAGCCUUAAGCUCCGCCGAAUACCAACCUGGCCCGCCUCGGGCGGUGCUGAAGGCGACAGUCUCCGGAGAGCUUGUGCAAAUAUAUACUUUGAAGUCUGGCUUCCGGUUCCAGGAUAGCUCUUUCUGGAGGUGACACUUCUUCAAGCGUGCUCUCUCCAUCGGCAGGACUUGGAGGAGCUGGGAGCAACUACCCGCAGCAGCCCUGUUCCUGGACCCUCUCUCAUGGCCUCAAGACAUUGCUUCUACAGUGCCUCUGCCCCGCACCUGCUCUCAGCUCCGACAGAAGUCACUCCCUCAGAGUCUCACUAUUGCUGGGUAAUGAACUACCGUCCCCUCCCUGCCUUACCGCCGCCUUCCUUGGAACAGUGAUUUAGAGAUUUGAGUCUGUGCCUCCUGAACUGCCAUUCCUAAGACCCCAAAUAAACUCCUUUGACUUUCACA
Rattus norvegicus (Norway rat) is the source of this 540-nucleotide long non-coding RNA. RefSeq lists it as uncharacterized. The record is from RefSeq and is a predicted model, not a curated record. Lineage: Eukaryota; Metazoa; Chordata; Mammalia; Rodentia; Muridae.